AGAUUAAACUGAAGAGUUUGAUCAUGGCUCAGAUUGAACGCUGGCGGCAGGCUUAACACAUGCAAGUCGAGCGGUAACAGAUCUAGCUUGCUAGAUGCUGACGAGCGGCGGACGGGUGAGUAACGCGUAGGAACCUGCCCAGUAGUGG
Molecule: ribosomal RNA, 148 nt
Filed under: Oleiphilus sp. HI0133
Lineage: Bacteria; Pseudomonadati; Pseudomonadota; Gammaproteobacteria; Oceanospirillales; Oleiphilaceae
Description: partial 16S ribosomal RNA
Rfam family: Bacterial small subunit ribosomal RNA
Source: RNAcentral